RNAcentral lists this long non-coding RNA (470 nucleotides) under Ananas comosus (pineapple). RNAcentral describes it as "long non-coding RNA (ACOM_LNC040458)". Lineage: Eukaryota; Viridiplantae; Streptophyta; Magnoliopsida; Poales; Bromeliaceae. The record is from RNAcentral.
CCUUUGUGGUGACGAAAGUGGGACAGGAGCCGCACCAGAAAAAUACUGUCGCGUUCCCAAUGCCGUAGGAAAAGAUCCAACUCCACAGCAUCACAAGCAUGUAAAUAAUAAAUAAGAGAAAUAUCUAGAGUUAACACACAAGUGCGUUGACAGGUAGGGACAAAAUAAAGGUGGAAAAGGCAAACACGCAAAGUCUUCUAGAGGAAGAUGAACGAUCGUAGCAGAUUCUCAUUCGGUAAUAGAUUAGUCAAAACCAAACAGACCGGCGUGUUUCAGAGCGCUGUUCAAGCAGCCAGCAAAAUGACAUCACCAAUAGCAUCAGCACACAGCAGCACACGUGGACGGGCGAGAUAAAAGAAAACCAACGCACUAAACAAAUUAUUCCAAGACAAACUCAUACUACCAAUGUUCUUCGAACCCAACGAACUAUUUCAAGAACAGCAAAAAAAAAAAAAAAAAAAGAAAAAAGA